CCGUGAUGUGUGUUGUGUGGAGCACGUGGAUGUUAGACUCUGCGAUUCUCAAACACUGCUGUCAUGAUUACUACUAGGUGUACUGAAGCUGUACCCAAAGCUAUUUCCAUCGGCUCAGCAGUCAUGCUCCACCUGGAACCACCACUACCACUACUAAUGCCACUACUACUACUACUACGGCCGUGGCAGCCCAACAACAACAAACAACACUGCCACGAUCUACAAAGUGACUACAACUUUCUCACACUUCCCUCCAGAUGUCAUUAAUUUUCUCCACAUUACGAGAGUUUACCCUGAAGCUGUUAUUUGGAACAGGAGUGAAGCAAAAGUAUCACGUGGAGAGCUAAGAGAGGAGAGGAAAAGGAAAAUAAUAAUGGAGAAGAGGGGAAGAAAGAUGAAAAGGAAAGAAAACUUAUUAAGGAGGAGGAGGAAGAGGAGGAGGAGGUGAAAAAGAAGGAGAAGAAGAAGAAAAAGAAAAAGAAAAAGAAA
Scylla paramamosain (green mud crab) is the source of this 489-nucleotide long non-coding RNA. RefSeq lists it as uncharacterized. The record is from RefSeq and is a predicted model, not a curated record. Lineage: Eukaryota; Metazoa; Arthropoda; Malacostraca; Decapoda; Portunidae. The transcript has 3 exons.